ACCUGCUUUCAAUCACUGUAGAUUAGAUUUGUCUCUUCUAGAAUCUCAUGCACCUCUGAGCUUACUGAUGCCAUAUAACUAACUGCUCAUCGAAAAUGGUUGGUGGAGUUCCUUUUCCUACAGGAGGUAAUCAAGUUAAAAUGAAAUCAUUACAGUGGCCUUAAUCCAAUAUGACUUGUGUCCUUAUAAAAAGAAAACUUGGAGGCAUACACCGAGGAAGAACGCCAUGUGAAGAGACACAGUGAGAAGAUGGCCACCUACAAGUCAAACAGAAAGACUGGAACAGAUCCUUAUCAACCUUAGAAGGAACCAACCAUACUGACACCUUGAUCUUGGACUUCAGCCUCCAGAACUGUGAGAGAGUGAAUUUCUGUUUAAGAUAUUCAGUUUGUGGUACUUUGUUACAGAAGUCUUAGCAAACUAAGACGACCAUCUUGUAAGAGAGAUGCAGGCACAAGAUGCUUAGCCAGACCACAGUCAUGUGUAAGGCAUCUUCUCCUAGUUGGCGGGGCAUGCCCACUCACAUUGUAUUGAUCAGUGCAAGUCACACGAUCAAGGCUGGGAGGUAUGUGCUUUCCUGUGGGGGUGGGAUGCAAGGGGAGUGAAGGUUUGGAAAUUAUAACUCAGGUCACUCCGAUUAGACGUACCGGAUUGAUCCCGGGGUCCUGGAAUCAAGCCUGGCAUUGGUCUCCCUGCUCAGCUGAGAGCCUGCUUCUCCUUCUCCCUCUGCCUGCCUCUCCUCCUGCUUGUGCUCUCUUUCUCUGUCAAAAU
This is a long non-coding RNA of Canis lupus familiaris (dog), 771 nucleotides long. RefSeq lists it as uncharacterized. Lineage: Eukaryota; Metazoa; Chordata; Mammalia; Carnivora; Canidae. The record is from RefSeq and is a predicted model, not a curated record. The transcript is spliced from 3 exons.